RNAcentral lists this ribosomal RNA (427 nucleotides) under uncultured bacterium. RNAcentral's name for it is "partial 16S ribosomal RNA". It matches the Rfam family "Bacterial small subunit ribosomal RNA", at positions 355 to 774 of the family's 1533-position model. The record is from RNAcentral.
UGGGGAAUAUUGCACAAUGGGCGCAAGCCUGAUGCAGCCAUGCCGCGUGUAUGAAGAAGGCCUUCGGGUUGUAAAGUACUUUCAGCGGGGAGGAAGGCGAUGCGGUUAAUAACCGCGUCGAUUGACGUUACCCGCAGAAGAAGCACAGGCUAACUCCGUGCCAGCAGCCGCGGUAAUACGGAGGGUGCAAGCGUUAAUCGGAAUUACUGGGCGUAAAGCGCACGCAGGCGGUCUGUCAAGUCGGAUGUGAAAUCCCCGGUCUCAACCUGGGAACUGCAUCCGAAACUGGCAGGCUUGAGUCUCGUAGAGGGGGGUAGAAUUCCAGGUGUAGCGGUGAAAUGCGUAGAGAUCUGGAGGAAUACCGGUGGCGAAGGCGGCCCCCUGGACGAAGACUGACGCUCAGGUGCGAAAGCGUGGGGAGCAAACA